CUUAAUUCCUAUGACAAAAACU
Molecule: small nuclear RNA, 22 nt
Filed under: Arabidopsis thaliana (thale cress)
Lineage: Eukaryota; Viridiplantae; Streptophyta; Magnoliopsida; Brassicales; Brassicaceae
Description: snRNA_04788
Source: RNAcentral